AAAAACAUCGCCUCUUGCAAAAUCAACAAAUAAGAGGUCCCGCCUGCCCUGUGACUAUAUGUUUAACGGCCGCGGUAUUUUGACCGUGCGAAGGUAGCGCAAUCACUUGUCUUUUAAAUGGAGACCUGUAUGAAUGGCACGACGAGGGCUUAACUGUCUCCUUUCCUAAGUCAAUGAAAUUGAUCUCUCCGUGCAGAAGCGGGGAUAGACCCAUAAGACGAGAAGACCCUAUGGAGCUUUAGACACUAAAACAGCUCAUGUUAAAAACCCUCACAAAAGAGGCUAAACUAGAUGACCUCUGUCCUAAUGUCUUUGGUUGGGGCGACCACGGGGCAACAAAAAACCCCCGCGCGGAACAGAAACAUUGUUUCCAGAACCAAGAGCACCCGCUCUAAGUAACAAGACCCACUUGACCUUUGAGAUCCGGCGUUGGCCGAUCAACGGACCGAGUUACCCUAGGGAUAACAGCGCAAUCUUCUUCGAGAGUUCAUAUCGACGAGAAGGUUUACGACCUCGAUGUUGGAUCAGGACAUCCUAAUGGUGCAGCCGCUAUUAAGGGUUCGUUUGUUCAACGAUUAAAGUCCUACGUGAUC
Molecule: ribosomal RNA, 593 nt
Filed under: Scarus rivulatus (rivulated parrotfish)
Lineage: Eukaryota; Metazoa; Chordata; Actinopteri; Labriformes; Labridae
Description: partial 16S ribosomal RNA
Rfam family: Bacterial large subunit ribosomal RNA
Source: RNAcentral